Molecule: long non-coding RNA, 125 nt
Organism: Gavialis gangeticus (Gharial)
Lineage: Eukaryota; Metazoa; Chordata; Crocodylia; Gavialidae
Exons: 3
Source: RefSeq, a predicted model, not a curated record
GGAAAGCUACACGUCCCUGCAAGCUGACAUUGGCACCCAUGGAGGAUGACUGGAGACCCUCUGGGUUAAACUACAUGGGAAACAUGGCAUAGGGGACACAAUGGCAGGAGGUCUGUGGUAGACUC